Molecule: non-coding RNA, 947 nt
Organism: Phoenix dactylifera (date palm)
Lineage: Eukaryota; Viridiplantae; Streptophyta; Magnoliopsida; Arecales; Arecaceae
Source: RefSeq, a predicted model, not a curated record
GGGCCAGCUCAAAGAAAAGCCCACCGCAGUCCGCAGAGCUACAGUAAAAGCCGCCCAAAGGGUUCGUGGGAACAAAGGUUGGGAUAGAAGGGGAGGAAGAGCAGCAGUGAUUCAUGGUGCCGGUGGCGUACUUCGUGCAGUCCAUGGAGAAGAAGGUCCUGCUUCCUCCUCUUUGUGUCAAUAUAUGCUCAUCUGGGUCAAAAGGAAGCUCAAGCUGCGAUUUUGACGCUUCGAGGAAGAUUUUUUCCCCUUCUCCCUCCGGAAAAAGCUGAUUUUUGAGUGCAUUAGGAGGACUUAAUUCCUGACAAUUUUUUUUCCUCCUAGUUGAAGGCAUCGACAUGAGAUCAGCCGGUUGUAAAACAUAACAAUAGAAAAAAAAAGAGCUACAGAUAUUGCCGGUUGUUAUGAAUUAUGAUCAAAUGCUUAAGUUUUAUUAUGAUUGGAGUCAAAUUUAUAAAUAUUGAUUAUCUAAAGGCUGGAUCAAGGAAGUCAGAUAACUUUUGAAACUGUUGUUUCAGAGUCUGCAUGGUCUCUAUAUGUGUGAUCUGUGGGUCUGUAUUAAUGCAGUUUCUUUUUUUUUGGUUGAUUGUCACCUGAUGCCAACCUCCCAUACCUUGUCUCAAAAUUUCUCUCUUAUUGCCAUUCUUGAAAAAACAAAUUUAGUUUUUAAGUAUGGAUUGUCUACAACAUACCAUUAGAAACGCCAUCUCUACAACAUAUGAAUUAUUUUUACAUAAUUUUUUAAAAUAUUUUGUAUUUAUUAAAAAAUAUUAUUUUUUUAAAAAAGAUGUUUUUUUAGUGAGUUCACCUUAGGCCCCUAAAUAUAUUGGGCCGCCUUUGUUUAUGCAAAAGAUGCUCUUUUUCCAGUUCCUUUGGUCACACUCACGUGCCUGCUUCCAUUUCCCUACCCUCUCGCCGCUACCAGCAUUCACCCAUUUCCAAUUUCC